UACGUAGGGUGCGAGCGUUAAUCGGAAUUACUGGGCGUAAAGCGUGCGCAGGCGGCUUUGUAAGUCAGAUGUGAAAUCCCCGGGCUUAACCUGGGAAUGGCAUUUGGGACUGCAAGGCUUGAGUUUGGCAGAGGAGACUGGAAUUCCUGGUGUAGCAGUGAAAUGCGUAGAUAUCAGGAGGAAUACCGAUGGCGAAGGCGGGUCUCUGGGCUAGAACUGACGCUCAUGCGCGAAAGCGUGGGGAGCAAACAGG
Molecule: ribosomal RNA, 253 nt
Filed under: uncultured bacterium
Lineage: Bacteria
Description: partial 16S ribosomal RNA
Rfam family: Bacterial small subunit ribosomal RNA
Source: RNAcentral